GUCGAGCGGCAGCGACUUAACUGAACCUUCGGGGAACGUUAAGGGCGGCGAGCGGCGGACGGGUGAGUAAUGCCUGGGAAUAUGCCCUGAUGUGGGGGAUAACUAUUGGAAACGAUAGCUAAUACCGCAUAAUCUCUUCGGAGCAAAGAGGGGGACCUUCGGGCCUCUCGCGUCAGGAUUAGCCCAGGUGGGAUUAGCUUGUUGGUGAGGUAAUGGCUCACCAAGGCAACGAUCCCUAGCUGGUCUGAGAGGAUGAUCAGCCACACUGGAACUGAGACACGGUCCAGACUCCUACGGGAGGCAGCAGUGGGGAAUAUUGCACAAUGGGGGAAACCCUGAUGCAGCCAUGCCGCGUGUGUGAAGAAGGCCUUCGGGUUGUAAAGCACUUUCAGUAGGGAGGAAGGUAGUGUAGUUAACACCUGCACUAUUUGACGUUACCUACAGAAGAAGCACCGGCUAACUCCGUGCCAGCAGCCGCGGUAAUACGGAGGGUGCGAGCGUUAAUCGGAAUUACUGGGCGUAAAGCGCAUGCAGGCGGCCUGUUAAGUCAGAUGUGAAAGCCCGGGGCUUAACCUCGGAAUUGCAUUUGAAACUGGCAGGCUAGAGUCUUGUAGAGGGGGGUAGAAUUUCAGGUGUAGCGGUGAAAUGCGU
RNAcentral lists this ribosomal RNA (651 nucleotides) under uncultured bacterium. RNAcentral describes it as "bacterial SSU rRNA". It matches the Rfam family "Bacterial small subunit ribosomal RNA", at positions 61 to 691 of the family's 1533-position model. The record is from RNAcentral.